This 236-nucleotide unclassified non-coding RNA is filed under the name Hevea brasiliensis (rubber tree). Lineage: Eukaryota; Viridiplantae; Streptophyta; Magnoliopsida; Malpighiales; Euphorbiaceae. The record is from RNAcentral.
UGAAAAGCCCAAGCCCCAGUUUCUUUGCAGGCCUGAUGUUAUUCUUGCUGUCAACCAGGGUCCCAUAGGGAAUGUAGGAAGUUGUUCUCCACUUGAUAAUAGUUCAGUUGCAAUGAAGACAGAGACUAUGCAUAAUAUUCCAUUUCAUUUAACUGAUGUUCUCAAUCAGCAGUCUAAUGGUAGUAGCAACAACAAUGACAUGGCUUCCACAGCUAAAAAUGUCACCCCUAAGCCCG